Molecule: long non-coding RNA, 297 nt
Filed under: Gossypium barbadense (sea-island cotton)
Lineage: Eukaryota; Viridiplantae; Streptophyta; Magnoliopsida; Malvales; Malvaceae
Description: long non-coding RNA (GBAR_LNC011373)
Source: RNAcentral
CCUUCUCACGCUAAUGAAAGCCCUUACAGCACUGCGAGAGCCUUUCCUUCCCCUAUACGGAAGGAUACUCUAUUUGGUCAAAGUCACUUUACAGAAGAGACCAAGUCGUUUACUUCAUAUUUGUGACUCUUGCCAACAAUUGAUUCUUUAACUGACACUUUACUCGAACCGCUUGCCAUAUCUAAACUAGCUACUGGCAAAUAGGGAAUUGAUUCAAGAUCCCCUUGCGCCCUACAGCCCGAAAGUUACUCUCUAUCAAAGCACCUGCGGUGGGCUAAGCGCAAGGAGUCUUAGAGU